AUUGCAUGAUCUGGUGUGAAAAACUCCGGUGGUAUAAGAUGGACCCGCGUCUGAUUAGCUGGUUGGUGAGGUAACGGCCCACCAAGGCGACGAUCAGUAGCCGACCUGAGAGGGUGACCGGCCACAUUGGGACUGAGACACGGCCCAAACUCCUACGGGAGGCAGCAGUGGGGAAUAUUGCACAAUGGGGGAAACCCUGAUGCAGCGACGCCGCGUGAGCGAAGAAGUAUUUCGGUAUGUAAAGCUCUAUCAGCAGGGAAGAAAAAAAUGACGGUACCUGACUAAGAAGCCCCGGCUAACUACGUGCCAGCAGCCGCGGUAAUACGUAGGGGGCAAGCGUUAUCCGGAUUUACUGGGUGUAAAGGGAGCGCAGGCGGUGCGGCAAGUCUGAUGUGAAAGCCCGGGGCUCAACCCCGGGACUGCAUUGGAACCUGUCGUACUUGAGUAUCGGAGAGGUAAGUGGAAUUCCUAGUGUAGCGGUGAAAUGCGUAGAUAUUAGGAGGAACACCAGUGGCGAAGGCGGCUUACUGGACGAUAACUGACGCUGAGGCUCGAAAGCGUGGGGAGCAAACAGGAUUAGAUACCCUGGUAGUCCACGCCGUA
RNAcentral lists this ribosomal RNA (603 nucleotides) under uncultured bacterium. RNAcentral's name for it is "bacterial SSU rRNA". It matches the Rfam family "Bacterial small subunit ribosomal RNA", at positions 185 to 804 of the family's 1533-position model. The record is from RNAcentral.